Molecule: ribosomal RNA, 468 nt
Filed under: uncultured bacterium
Lineage: Bacteria
Description: partial 16S ribosomal RNA
Rfam family: Bacterial small subunit ribosomal RNA
Source: RNAcentral
GACGAACGCUGGCGGCGUGCUUAACACAUGCAAGUCGAACGGAAAGGCCCUGCUUUUGUGGGGUGCUCGAGUGGCGAACGGGUGAGUAACACGUGAGUAACCUGCCCUUGACUUUGGGAUAACUUCAGGAAACUGGGGCUAAUACCGGAUAGGAGCUCCUGCUGCAUGGUGGGGGUUGGAAAGUUUCGGCGGUUGGGGAUGGACUCGCGGCUUAUCAGCUGGUUGGUGGGGUAGUGGCUUACCAAGGCUUUGACGGGUAGCCGGCCUGAGAGGGGGACCGGCCACAUUGGGACUGAGAGACGGCCCAGACUCCUACGGGAGGCAGUAGUGGGGAAUAUUGCACAAUGGGCGGAAGCCUGAUGCAGCAACGCCGCGUGCGGGAUGACGGCCUUCGGGUUGUAAACCGCUUUCGCCUGUGACGAAGAGUGAGUGACGGUAAUGGGUAAAGAAGCACCGGCUAACUACGUG